Molecule: transfer RNA, 59 nt
Filed under: Camelus bactrianus (Bactrian camel)
Lineage: Eukaryota; Metazoa; Chordata; Mammalia; Artiodactyla; Camelidae
Also listed under: 3 other names
Rfam family: tRNA
About the family: Transfer RNA (tRNA) molecules are approximately 80 nucleotides in length. Their secondary structure includes four short double-helical elements and three loops (D, anti-codon, and T loops). Further hydrogen bonds mediate the characteristic L-shaped molecular structure. tRNAs have two regions of fundamental functional importance: the anti-codon, which is responsible for specific mRNA codon recognition, and the 3' end, to which the tRNAs corresponding amino acid is attached (by aminoacyl-tRNA synthetases). tRNAs cope with the degeneracy of the genetic code in two manners: having more than one tRNA (with a specific anti-codon) for a particular amino acid; and 'wobble' base-pairing, i.e. permitting non-standard base-pairing at the 3rd anti-codon position.
Source: Rfam by way of RNAcentral
AUAGCUCAGUGGUACAGCACAUGCUUAGCAUGCAUGAGGUCCUGGGUUCAAUGCCCAGU